RNAcentral lists this long non-coding RNA (1202 nucleotides) under Homo sapiens (human). RNAcentral describes it as "HSALNT0224700". The record is from RNAcentral. Lineage: Eukaryota; Metazoa; Chordata; Mammalia; Primates; Hominidae.
GGGGAUUUGGGGAAGAAAGGACUGGUCCUCCCCUAGACGGUUUCUGCCUGCUACAGCGUCCAUCUCAUCAACAAUGGAAAAACUGAACCCAAAGCAGCCACAGGACUCUGCAAGCCUGAGCACAGCUGUGUCCAAGAGGAGAUAUCCUCGCCAUCACUUGUGGACUUCCCUGCUGCAGGAGAGCCAGAGGCCAGUGUCUAUGCUGGCCAGUGUCCUAUCAAACUCAGCUACUUCCCACUCCUUAGAGGUGGAGAGAGUGAACAGCAUUUGGAAUGAUUUUCAAUUGUUAAACCAGCCUUGCAUUCUUGGAAUAAUUCCAACUUGGUUGUAAUGUAUUUUCCUUUUAAUAUGUUACUAGAUUCUGGUUGCUCACAUUUUGUUAAGAACUUUUGUACCUAAGUUCAUGAGGAAGAUAAAAAAUAAUUUUGUUGUAAUGUCUUUGUCAGUUUUAUUAUUAAGGCUAUUUAACCUCAUGCCAGGUUGAGAACAUGUUGGAAAAUGUACAUGAUUCUUCUUUUUUAUGCAUGAUGCAAUUUAAGCUCACUUCUCUACAGUCCUUUUUUCUCUGAGGUCUUGGCUUCACAAAUCCUGACUGCCUUAACAGCCUUAAAUUCCAAUUUUAUGUUUACCUCAGCUGUAAGCCUUUGGUCUCUGCUCUGUGACAUACAUCAUUAAGCACCCUGAGGAGAAAUGUGGUGGCCACCAUAGAGCUCACGUCUAUCUGUUCCUUUUCUUUCAGGAUCUUGGCCACUCAAAUCUUGGCUGCCUUUCAACAGCUUUUUAAAAUCUAGUUUUUUAUCGUUGUUCCUGGCAGGCACGAGUUAUUUAUCAUAACCAAAAUAGGAAGUCUAAUCUUCAUCUUUAAAGUUGACAUCAGAUUGGACCAUCUCUCAUUGUUCCUUCCUUGGUAAUAGAAUAUUGGGAUAGCAGUACCCACAAGAACGACUUCGUGGUAUAAGGCAAAGAUAUGAAGCAGUGAUUGCAUGAAGAGCAUCUGUAGCCAAGCCUGGGCUUGGAUUUCAGCUCUGCUACACCUAGACGUGUGAGUUUGAGAACUUUUCUACACUUCAGUACACACAUUAUAAUACGGAAUAACAACAGUAUCUACCUCAUAGGCUUAUUGGGAAGACUAGACCUAGUGAAAUAAUAUAUCUGAAAUAGGUACUCUGUGCCUUAAACGGGGUGAUAAAAUAAAGUGCUGG